GACGAACGCUGGCGGCGUGCCUAAUACAUGCAAGUUGAGCGAUGAAGAUUGGUGCUUGCACCGAGUUGAAGAGCAGCGAAGGGGUGAGUAACGCGUGGGGAAUCUGCCUGUGAGCGGGGGACAACAUGGGGAAACGAAUGCUAAUACCGCAGAACAACUUUAAACAUAAGGGUGAAGGUUGAAAGAUGCAGUUGCAUCACUCAAAGAUGAUCCCGCGUUGUAUUAGUGGGGUGGUGAGGUAAAGGCUCACCAAGGCGAUGAUACAUAGCAGAACUGAGAGGGUGAUCGGCCACACUGGGACGGAGACACGCCCCAAACUCCUACGGGAGGCAGCAGUACGGAAUCGUCGGCAAUGGACGAAAGUCUGACCGAGCAACGCGGAGUGAGUGAAGAGGGUUUUCGGAUCGUAAAACACUGUUGGUAGAGAAGAACGUUGGUGCGCGUGGAACGCUCAUCAAGUGACGGUAACUACCCAGAAAGGGACGGCUAACUACGUG
Molecule: ribosomal RNA, 497 nt
Filed under: uncultured bacterium
Lineage: Bacteria
Description: partial 16S ribosomal RNA
Rfam family: Bacterial small subunit ribosomal RNA
Source: RNAcentral